GGGGGCCCGCACAAGCGGCGGAGCAUGCGGAUUAAUUCGAUGCAACGCGAAGAACCUUACCAAGGCUUGACAUGAACCGGAAACACCUGGAAGCAGGUGCCCCGCUUGCGGUCGGUUUACAGGUGGUGCAUGGUUGUCGUCAGCUCGUGUCGUGAGAUGUUGGGUUAAGUCCCGCAACGAGCGCAACCCUCGUUCUAUGUUGCCAGCGCGUUAUGGCGGGGACUCAUAGGAGACUGCCGGGGUCAACUCGGAGGAAGGUGGGGACGACGUCAAAUCAUCAUGCCCCUUAUGUCUUGGGCUUCACGCAUGCUACAAUGGCCGGUACAAAGGGUUGCGAUACUGUGAGGUGGAGCUAAUCCCAAAAAGCCGGUCUCAGUUCGGAUUGGGGUCUGCAACUCGACCCCAUGAAGUCGGAGUCGCUAGUAAUCGCAGAUCAGCAACGCUGCGGUGAAUACGUUCCCGGGCCUUGUACACACCGCCCGUCAAGUCACGAAAGUUGGUAACACCCGAAGCCGGUGGCCUAACCCCUUGUGGGAGGGAGCUGUCGAAGGUGGGACUGGCGAUUGGGACUAAGUCGUAACAAGGUAACCGUAAGGGC
Molecule: ribosomal RNA, 598 nt
Filed under: uncultured bacterium
Lineage: Bacteria
Description: bacterial SSU rRNA
Rfam family: Bacterial small subunit ribosomal RNA
Source: RNAcentral